Molecule: ribosomal RNA, 1355 nt
Filed under: Pediococcus pentosaceus
Lineage: Bacteria; Bacillati; Bacillota; Bacilli; Lactobacillales; Lactobacillaceae
Description: bacterial SSU rRNA
Rfam family: Bacterial small subunit ribosomal RNA
Source: RNAcentral
UGAUUGAGAUUUUAACACGAAGUGAGUGGCGAACGGGUGAGUAACACGUGGGUAACCUGCCCAGAAGUAGGGGAUAACACCUGGAAACAGAUGCUAAUACCGUAUAACAGAGAAAACCGCAUGGUUUUCUUUUAAAAGAUGGCUCUGCUAUCACUUCUGGAUGGACCCGCGGCGUAUUAGCUAGUUGGUGAGGUAAAGGCUCACCAAGGCAGUGAUACGUAGCCGACCUGAGAGGGUAAUCGGCCACAUUGGGACUGAGACACGGCCCAGACUCCUACGGGAGGCAGCAGUAGGGAAUCUUCCACAAUGGACGCAAGUCUGAUGGAGCAACGCCGCGUGAGUGAAGAAGGGUUUCGGCUCGUAAAGCUCUGUUGUUAAAGAAGAACGUGGGUAAGAGUAACUGUUUACCCAGUGACGGUAUUUAACCAGAAAGCCACGGCUAACUACGUGCCAGCAGCCGCGGUAAUACGUAGGUGGCAAGCGUUAUCCGGAUUUAUUGGGCGUAAAGCGAGCGCAGGCGGUCUUUUAAGUCUAAUGUGAAAGCCUUCGGCUCAACCGAAGAAGUGCAUUGGAAACUGGGAGACUUGAGUGCAGAAGAGGACAGUGGAACUCCAUGUGUAGCGGUGAAAUGCGUAGAUAUAUGGAAGAACACCAGUGGCGAAGGCGGCUGUCUGGUCUGCAACUGACGCUGAGGCUCGAAAGCAUGGGUAGCGAACAGGAUUAGAUACCCUGGUAGUCCAUGCCGUAAACGAUGAUUACUAAGUGUUGGAGGGUUUCCGCCCUUCAGUGCUGCAGCUAACGCAUUAAGUAAUCCGCCUGGGGAGUACGACCGCAAGGUUGAAACUCAAAAGAAUUGACGGGGGCCCGCACAAGCGGUGGAGCAUGUGGUUUAAUUCGAAGCUACGCGAAGAACCUUACCAGGUCUUGACAUCUUCUGACAGUCUAAGAGAUUAGAGGUUCCCUUCGGGGACAGAAUGACAGGUGGUGCAUGGUUGUCGUCAGCUCGUGUCGUGAGAUGUUGGGUUAAGUCCCGCAACGAGCGCAACCCUUAUUACUAGUUGCCAGCAUUAAGUUGGGCACUCUAGUGAGACUGCCGGUGACAAACCGGAGGAAGGUGGGGACGACGUCAAAUCAUCAUGCCCCUUAUGACCUGGGCUACACACGUGCUACAAUGGAUGGUACAACGAGUCGCGAGACCGCGAGGUUAAGCUAAUCUCUUAAAACCAUUCUCAGUUCGGACUGUAGGCUGCAACUCGCCUACACGAAGUCGGAAUCGCUAGUAAUCGCGGAUCAGCAUGCCGCGGUGAAUACGUUCCCGGGCCUUGUACACACCGCCCGUCACACCAUGAGAGUUU